Non-coding RNA from Rhodobacterales bacterium 65-51, 91 nucleotides. The record is from Rfam. Lineage: Bacteria; Pseudomonadati; Pseudomonadota; Alphaproteobacteria; Rhodobacterales.
GGGGAUCUUCGGAGCCCUUCAACCGCGCGAAAGCGACCUGAAAGCCGCAAGGACCGAGGGGCGUUAUGCGCAAGCUAACGGAAGACAGAAA